CCUACGGGAGGCAGCAGUGAGGAAUAUUGGUCAAUGGGCGGGAGCCUGAACCAGCCAAGCCGCGUGAGGGAAGCAGGUCCAACGUAUCGUAAACCUCUUUUGUCAGGGAACAAAGGCCGGGACUCGUCCCCUGCUGAGGGUACCUGAAGAACAAGCAUCGGCUAACUCCGUGCCAGCAGCCGCGGUAAUCCGGAGGAUGCGAGCGUUAUCCGGAUUUAUUGGGUUUAAAGGGUGCGCAGGCGGCCUGUUAAGUCAGCGGUAAAAGCCCGGGGCUCAACCCCGGCGAGCCGUUGAAACUGGCGGGUUGGAGUUGGAGAGAAGUAAGCGGAAUGCGCGGUGUAGCGGUGAAAUGCAUAGAUAGCGCGCAGAACCCCGAUUGCGAAGGCAGCGUACCGGCGCCAAACUGACGCGGAGGCACGAAAGCGUGGGUAUCGAACAGGAUUAGAUACCCGAGUAGUC
Molecule: ribosomal RNA, 459 nt
Filed under: uncultured bacterium
Lineage: Bacteria
Description: partial 16S ribosomal RNA
Rfam family: Bacterial small subunit ribosomal RNA
Source: RNAcentral